RNAcentral lists this transfer RNA (70 nucleotides) under Dipodomys ordii (Ord's kangaroo rat). It matches the Rfam family "tRNA". From Rfam's summary of the family: Transfer RNA (tRNA) molecules are approximately 80 nucleotides in length. Their secondary structure includes four short double-helical elements and three loops (D, anti-codon, and T loops). Further hydrogen bonds mediate the characteristic L-shaped molecular structure. tRNAs have two regions of fundamental functional importance: the anti-codon, which is responsible for specific mRNA codon recognition, and the 3' end, to which the tRNAs corresponding amino acid is attached (by aminoacyl-tRNA synthetases). tRNAs cope with the degeneracy of the genetic code in two manners: having more than one tRNA (with a specific anti-codon) for a particular amino acid; and 'wobble' base-pairing, i.e. permitting non-standard base-pairing at the 3rd anti-codon position. The record is from Rfam by way of RNAcentral. Lineage: Eukaryota; Metazoa; Chordata; Mammalia; Rodentia; Heteromyidae.
GGGAAUGUGGCUCAGUGGUAGAGUGCUUGCUUAACAUGCAUGAAGCCCUGGGUUUGAUUCCUCAGUACCA